AUUGAACGCUGGCGGAAUGCUUUACACAUGCAAGUCGAUCGGCAGCACGGACUUCGGUCUGGUGGCGAGUGGCGAACGGGUGAGUAAUACAUCGGAACGUGCCCAAUCGUGGGGGAUAACGUAGCGAAAGCUACGCUAAUACCGCAUACGAUCUAAGGAUGAAAGCGGGGGGUCGCAAGACCUCGCGCGAUUGGAGCGGCCGAUGGCAGAUUAGGUAGUUGGUAGGGUAAAGGCCUACCAAGCCGACGAUCUGUAGCUGGUCUGAGAGGAUGAUCAGCCACACUGGGACUGAGACACGGCCCAGACUCCUACGGGAGGCAGUAGUGGGGAAUUUUGGACAAUGGACGCAAGUCUGAUCCAGCCAUUCCGCGUGCAGGAUGAAGGCCCUCGGGUUGUAAACUGCUUUUGUACAGAACGAAAAGGCUCUGGUUAAUACCUAGGGCUCAUGACGGUACUGUAAGAAUAAGCACCGGCUAACUACGUGCCAGCCGCCGCGGUAA
This 500-nucleotide ribosomal RNA is filed under the name uncultured bacterium. Its description in RNAcentral is "partial 16S ribosomal RNA". It matches the Rfam family "Bacterial small subunit ribosomal RNA", at positions 30 to 523 of the family's 1533-position model. The record is from RNAcentral.